CGACGUAGGUAACCUGCUGUAGCGGGGGAGUAACUAUUGGAAACGAUAGCUAAUACCGCAUAACAAAUGGAUGACACAUGUCAUUUAUUUGAAAGGGGGCAAUUGCUCCACUACAAGAUGGACCUGCGUUGUAUUAGCUAGUAGGUGAGGUAACGGCUCACCUAGGCGACGAUACAUAGCCGACCUGAGAGGGUGAUCGGCCACACUGGGACUGAGACACGGCCCAG
This 227-nucleotide ribosomal RNA is filed under the name uncultured bacterium. Its description in RNAcentral is "partial 16S ribosomal RNA". It matches the Rfam family "Bacterial small subunit ribosomal RNA", at positions 113 to 334 of the family's 1533-position model. The record is from RNAcentral.